This 686-nucleotide long non-coding RNA is filed under the name Zonotrichia albicollis (white-throated sparrow). RNAcentral describes it as "lncRNA (ENSZALG00000016183.1)". The record is from RNAcentral. Lineage: Eukaryota; Metazoa; Chordata; Aves; Passeriformes; Passerellidae.
UUAAUAAAUUCACUAAAAUAUUUAUUUGAUGGUUUUGAAGGGUUUCCCUUGUUAGUUAUUCUUUAUCCUGUACUUCUUGUGUGGACCUGGACAAACAAGAGAAAUGGAAUCACAGUGAGGGGAAGAAGUAGGGAAUAACAAAGAUGACCACCCGAAAGCAGAAAAAGCAGCAGGAGAGGGCAACUGCAUGCAAAUCUAUUUUGCAUUGAGAAUAAUUAUUCUGCUCACAAAGCAGCACCGGCUCGGAGACAAAGCUGAGACUUCUAACACUUGGGCCAGGGAUAAAAACUGGAAAUCUAGAGGGAGGAAUGGCUGUUUGAAGAGUCCCUACACACUGGUGUGGUGGUAGACCAGCCCAAACGGAGGACUGUGGAAGAAAUACACUGCAUAAGGUCUUCACCAAAUGGGUUUGUUGCUGUUUUUGUUUGUUUUUUGUUUGUUUGUUUGUUGUUGUUUCUGGUCUCUCUCAGCAACUUUAUCAGAUGCAGACUGCUGUUAGAGCCAACUGAAUUCCUUUUGCAAGUGGGAGGCAAGAGACUGAACCCAACUGGCAAAUGGCUCAUCCUGGACUAAAGUGGGAACAGCACAUUUUGGGUUAAACACACGCUUUGCUGCACUGCUUUACAUGGAAGAUUCUGAGAAGAAAAAGCCAUUUGACUCCUUGGCUAGAGCAGAGUAUCAAAUUG